RNAcentral lists this ribosomal RNA (497 nucleotides) under uncultured bacterium. Its description in RNAcentral is "partial 16S ribosomal RNA". It matches the Rfam family "Bacterial small subunit ribosomal RNA", at positions 28 to 507 of the family's 1533-position model. The record is from RNAcentral.
GAUGAACGCUGGCGGCGUGCCUAAUACAUGCAAGUCGAGCGAACAGAUGAGGAGCUUGCUCCUCUGACGUUAGCGGCGGACGGGUGAGUAACACGUGGAUAACCUACCUAUAAGACUGGGAUAACUUCGGGAAACCGGAGCUAAUACCGGAUAAUAUAUUGAACCGCAUGGUUCAAUAGUGAAAGACGGUUUUGCUGUCACUUAUAGAUGGAUCCGCGCCGCAUUAGCUAGUUGGUAAGGUAACGGCUUACCAAGGCAACGAUGCGUAGCCGACCUGAGAGGGUGAUCGGCCACACUGGAACUGAGACACGGUCCAGACUCCUACGGGAGGCAGCAGUAGGGAAUCUUCCGCAAUGGGCGAAAGCCUGACGGAGCAACGCCGCGUGAGUGAUGAAGGUCUUCGGAUCGUAAAACUCUGUUAUUAGUGAAGAACAAAUGUGUAAGUAACUGUGCACGUCUUGACGGUACCUAAUCAGAAAGCCACGGCUAACUACGUG